CCCUUAGAUGUCCUGGGCCGCACGCGCGCUACACUGAGUGUCUGAGAUACGAGUCUGCCUGGUCCGGCAAGGUCUAGGUAAUCGCUAAAAGACACAUCAUGCUUGGGAUAGAUUAUUGCAAACAUUAAUCUUGAACGAGGAAUUCCUAGUAAGCGCAAGUCAACAGCUUGCGUUGAUUACGUCCCUGCCCUUUGUACACACCGCCCGUCGCUACUACUGAUUGGAUGUUUAAGCGAGGUUCUCGAACUGCUAGCGACUUAGCUUCGGUGAGGUCGCAGUGUGGGAAGUGAACCGAGCUUUGGUGUCUAGAGGAAGUAAAAGUCGUAACA
Molecule: ribosomal RNA, 329 nt
Filed under: uncultured eukaryote
Lineage: Eukaryota
Description: partial 18S ribosomal RNA
Rfam family: Eukaryotic small subunit ribosomal RNA
Source: RNAcentral